UACGUAGGGCGCAAGCGUUGUCCGGAUUUAUUGGGCGUAAAGAGCUCGUAGGCGGUGUGUCGCGUCGGCCGUGAAAACCUGCAGCUUAACUGUGGGCUUGCGGUCGAUACGGGCAUCACUGGAGUUCGGCAGGGGAGACUGGAAUUCCUGGUGUAGCGGUGAAAUGCGCAGAUAUCAGGAGGAACACCGGUGGCGAAGGCGGGUCUCUGGGCCGAUACUGACGCUGAGGAGCGAAAGCGUGGGGAGCGAACAGG
RNAcentral lists this ribosomal RNA (254 nucleotides) under uncultured bacterium. RNAcentral describes it as "partial 16S ribosomal RNA". It matches the Rfam family "Bacterial small subunit ribosomal RNA", at positions 524 to 776 of the family's 1533-position model. The record is from RNAcentral.